GACGAACGCUGGCGGCGUGCUUAACACAUGCAAGUCGAACGGAAAGGCCCUGCGUUUGUGGGGUGCUCGAGUGGCGAACGGGUGAGUAACACGUGAGUAACCUGCCCUUGACUUUGGGAUAACUUCAGGAAACUGGGGCUAAUACCGGAUAGGAGCUCCUGCUGCAUGGUGGGGGUUGGAAAGUUUCGGCGGUUGGGGAUGGACUCGCGGCUUAUCAGCUUGUUGGUGGGGUAGUGGCUUACCAAGGCUUUGACGGGUAGCCGGCCUGAGAGGGUGACCGGCCACAUUGGGACUGAGAUACGGCGCAGGCUCCUACGGGAGGCAGCAGUGGGGAAGAUUGCACAAUGGGCGGAAGCCUGAUGCAGCAACGCCGGGUGCGGGAUGACGGAAUUCGGGGUGUAAACCGCUUUCGCCUGUGACGAAGCGGGAGUGACGGUAAUGGGUAAAGAAGCACCGGCUAACUACGUG
Molecule: ribosomal RNA, 468 nt
Filed under: uncultured bacterium
Lineage: Bacteria
Description: partial 16S ribosomal RNA
Rfam family: Bacterial small subunit ribosomal RNA
Source: RNAcentral